UACAGAGGGGGCCAGCGUUAUUCGGAAUUAUUGGGCGUAAAGGGCGCGUAGGCGGCCUUCUAAGUCGGACGUGAAAUCCCUCGGCUUAACCGAGGAACUGCGUCCGAUACUGAAAGGCUUGAAUCCGGGAGAGGGAUGUGGAAUUCCAGGUGUAGCGGUGAAAUGCGUAGAUAUCUGGAGGAACACCGGUGGCGAAGGCGGCAUCCUGGACCGGCAUUGACUCUGAGGCGCGAAAGCUAGGGGAGCAAACGGG
This 253-nucleotide ribosomal RNA is filed under the name uncultured bacterium. RNAcentral describes it as "partial 16S ribosomal RNA". It matches the Rfam family "Bacterial small subunit ribosomal RNA", at positions 524 to 776 of the family's 1533-position model. The record is from RNAcentral.